RNAcentral lists this unclassified non-coding RNA (329 nucleotides) under uncultured fungus. RNAcentral describes it as "partial contains 5.8S ribosomal RNA and internal transcribed spacer 2". The stretch from base 1 to 133 matches the Rfam family "5.8S ribosomal RNA", at positions 22 to 154 of the family's 154-position model. The record is from RNAcentral. Lineage: Eukaryota; Fungi.
UGGUUCUGGCAUNGAUGAAGAACGCAGCGAAAUGCGAUAAGUAAUGUGAAUUGCAGAAUUCAGUGAAUCAUCGAAUCUUUGAACGCACAUUGCGCCCGCCAGCAUUCUGGCGGGCAUGCCUGUUCGAGCGUCAUUUCAACCCUCGAGCCCCCCCGGGGGCCUCGGUGUUGGGGGACGGCACACCAGCCGCCCCCGAAAUGCAGUGGCGACCUCGCCGCAGCCUCCCCUGCGUAGUAGCACACACCUCGCACCGGAGCGCGGAGACGGUCACGCCGUAAAACGCCCAACUUCUUAGAGUUGACCUCGGAUCAGGUAGGAAUACCCGCUGA